UAAUACGUAGGUGGCGAGCGUUAUCCGGAUUUAUUGGGCGUAAAGAGGGCGUAGGCGGCCUUUCAAGUCGGAUGUAAAAUCUCCCGGCUCAACUGGGAGGGACCAUUCGAUACUGUUAGGCUAGAGUGCAGUAGAGGGAGGUGGAAUUCCCGGUGUAGUGGUGAAAUGCGUAGAUAUCGGGAGGAACACCAGUGGCGAAGGCGGCCUCCUGGGCUGCUACUGACGCUGAGGCCCGUAAGCGUGGGGAGCAAACAGGAUUAGAUACCCUGGUAGUCCACGCUGUAAACCAUGGACACUAGGUAUGGGGAGUAUCGACCCUCUCUGUGCCGAAGCUAACGCUUUAAGUAUCCCGCCUGGGGAUUACGGCCGCAAGGCUA
Molecule: ribosomal RNA, 377 nt
Filed under: uncultured bacterium
Lineage: Bacteria
Description: bacterial SSU rRNA
Rfam family: Bacterial small subunit ribosomal RNA
Source: RNAcentral